Molecule: long non-coding RNA, 203 nt
Filed under: Marmota monax (woodchuck)
Lineage: Eukaryota; Metazoa; Chordata; Mammalia; Rodentia; Sciuridae
Source: RNAcentral
GACAUCUCCUGGACUUUGCCUCUCCCUUCCUGGCCUGGCCAGCACCAGCGAUGGGCUUAACAGAGCAUGUCUGGGAGCAGUUAGGUUGUCUCGUAUGCUGUGAUGUGGCUUCCAGCAGGCACACAGGUUUUGCAGCAGCCCAGCAUGAGUAGCAGAUAGGAAGACCACACUGUCACCUCUCUUUUGUCGUUGAACCAGGUGCG